RNAcentral lists this ribosomal RNA (232 nucleotides) under uncultured eukaryote. Its description in RNAcentral is "partial 18S ribosomal RNA". It matches the Rfam family "Eukaryotic small subunit ribosomal RNA", at positions 1208 to 1456 of the family's 1831-position model. The record is from RNAcentral.
GGAAAACUCACCGGGUCCGGACAUAGUAAGGAUUGACAGAUUGAUGGCGCUUUCAUGAUUCUAUGGGUGGUGGUGCAUGGCCGUUCUUAGUUGGUGGAGUGAUUUGUCUGGUUAAUUCCGAUAACGAACGAGACUUUGACCUGCUAAAUAGACGGGUUGACAUUUUGUUGGCCCCUUAUGUCUUCUUAGAGGGACAAUCGACCGUCUAGGUGAUGGAGGCAAAAGGCAAUAA